GGAUAGGGGUUCCUGAAGUUCUAACAGACAAUGCACAAGUCCGAGAAGGAUCAUCAAUACGACUCGUCUGCCAAGUAGAUGCUUCUUCAAACGAGAUGUUAAAGAUUACAUGGCUCAGAGAUGGCAUUCCUCUGGUCUCGAAAACAUCAAGAAUUAUCCAACUACCUGAAUAUGGCACGAUACUCCAAAUUACCUCAGCUAAGUCCAGUGACUCAGGCCUUUAUCGCUGUAAUGUAAGCAAUGCAUUUGAGGAGAGCAUGGCCAGUACAGAAAUGACCAUAUCGGUCACCAAAAGGACGUUACAGCCUCCAUGGGGCAUCUUGAUGGGUCCCUCAGAUACAGAUGCCAUGGCUGGUAGUGAUGUUAUACUAGAGUGUCUCCUGACUGGACAAGACAAUGUGGAUGUCACAUGGAGACGAACAGGUAGGGUUCUUUAACAUUGAGGGCCAACUUGUGGGAGAUCUUAGACUCUGUUCUCAUUACCAUCCUAAAACUAUUUUAGUAGAAACUAGUUUAACCCUAAAAAGGCCCGGGAAGGGGGGGGGGCGGAUUUCGCCCCCUAUACAUUUUUCACAAUAAAUCUGCCGCACAAAAUUCUUUUAAAGCUUUAAAUCUUUUGAAGGUUGUGUCCAAAAUGGAUUGGGGUGCUGAUCGCAUUGUCCUUCUCCGUUUAUAUAGAUCUUUAGUUAGAUCUAAGCUUGAUUAUGGCAGUGCAGUUUAUAGUUCCGCUCGAAAGUCAUAUCUUGAAAAAUUGAAACCCAUACAGAAUCAAGGACUUCGACUUUGUCUAGGAGCAUUUCGUACAUCUCCUAUGGAGAGUCUUUAUGUUGAGGCUAAUGAACCCCCCUUACAUCUAAGGUACGAAAAGCUCUCUUUACACUAUGCGAUAAAGCUAAAAAAUAACUCUCAUAAUCCGACAUAUGAUUGUACAUUCACGCCACGAUAUAUUAAUUUUUAUACUAGUAAACCAUCAGCCAUCAAAACUUUUGGUUUACGUACUAAAGAAGCUUUAACACAUAUACUGGAUGCUACUAACGUAGCUCCUUCCUUGAUAUCUAAUAUUCCACCAUGGAUGAUUGCUGAACCAGUAAUUGAUUUUACACUAAGAACAUAUAAAAAGGGUUUUACAAGUGAUUUAGUUUUCCUAAAUAAAUUUGGAGAAAUAAGACAUAAAUAUAGUAAUUAUCGUGCAAUCUAUACAGAUGGAUCAAAACACCAGAAUAAAGUAGGUGCGGCUUGUAUAAGUGGUCCUAUACAAAGACAAGUCAGAUUGCCAGAUAGUUCUUCCAUAUAUACUGCUGAGUUAUUAGCCUUGAAAAUGGCUUUAGGUGUUGUAGAAAACUGUGUCGGUAGACUUUUUGUUAUUUAUACAGAUUCUUUGUCUUCUUUAACGGCAUUACAAAAUAGAAAUCAUAAACAUCCUUAUAUUGUUCAGUUAUUGGAAAUUCUGUAUAAACUCAAUACACUAGGUAAACGAAUAAUAUUUGUUUGGAUACCAAGCCAUACAGGUAUUCAAGGUAAUGAAAAAGCUGAUAAGUUAGCUAAAGAAGCUUUAGAUCUGGAUAUAACAGAAAUACAGAUACCUUACACUGAUCUAAAAUCAAAGGUUAAUACUUAUAUUAGAAAUAAAUGGCAAACAUCAUGGGAUCUAAAUCCUAAUAA
This is a long non-coding RNA of Lytechinus pictus (painted urchin), 1662 nucleotides long. RefSeq lists it as uncharacterized. The transcript is spliced from 2 exons. NCBI's taxonomy places the organism in Eukaryota, Metazoa, Echinodermata, Echinoidea, Temnopleuroida, Toxopneustidae. The record is from RefSeq and is a predicted model, not a curated record.